AUGGCUGGUGUUGCUAGGAAAGGGAGGUCCAAGUGGGACACACAGGAAAUUUCUCCUGAUAUUGUUGAGAUCAGUGAAGAUGACUCUCCUCCUAAGAAUACAGAUGAUCGCCACAAAGAUGUGAUCCCUACUCAGGAUCUCACUAAUGAUAAUGGAAAGCGACUUGGUGAAUCUUCGAACCUAAAACCUGAUGCCUUCUUGCACCAAGGCAGUACUGAAUACGAGCAGGAACGCACUGAUGGGUUAAAUAAAGAUGUCAAGGAAAGGCAAUCUAAAGCGUCAUCUGAAAGGUCGCAUGCUCCUAGAAUGGCUGAAGAGGGGCAUAAUAAUGAUGACUGGGGUAAGUUAGCUUCUUUGGAAAAGGCAACUGGUAACCAAGCUAUGAGUAGAAAUGCUGAUGACAGAAGACGUGGAGAUGGAUGGGGAACAGCUGCUAGCCGUGGUUAUUCUUCUAGGGUGUCGUCUGGUCCAGAUGCAUGGAAGCAGCGCACUCGAAGUCCAUCUCCAAGAGGUGCUUGGAACAGGUCACGCAGGAACAGAAGUGGCUCCAGAAGCAGGAGUAGAGAGCGAGUUAGAGGGAGAAGCAGAAGUCGAAGCCGGAGUCCUUAUUUUGACCGUGGAUCUGAUUGGAGGGCUGAGAGAGGCAGAAUAUCUGGAGGGCCUUCUUUGCUCUGCAGAGAUUUUACAGCUGGUAGAUGCAGAAGAGGCUUGCAUUGCAGGUUUCCUCAUGAAGAUGGUGGGCGAAGGCAGUUUGACGAGCCUUAUCCCGCAGACUCGAGGGAAAGGUAUGGCCAUCAGAACAAGGAUUUCAUGGAUCCACGAGAACCAGAUGACUAUGUACGGAGCAGGCAACCUCGAGGUCAUUUUGAUGAAGGUACUUGGGAAAGAUCUGAACCCCGAAGAGAUUACAGGGCUUCUGAUCAAUGCCAUGAGUUUGUCAAAGGAAGGUGCAGCAGAGGUGCAAGUUGCAGAUAUAUUCAUGAUGAGUCCGCUUCUCAUGCUGGAUGGAGAGAUGAUGCUAGGGAAACAGCUCAUGUGAGAGGUGGUCCUGAUUCAUCCUUUGGGAAUAGGACAGAGCACCGUAGAGAACAAAAAAGGCCCUGUAAAUUUUUUGCUGAAGGUCGCUGCCGUCGUGGUGAAACUUGUCCAUAUCUCCAUGAGGAAGCUCCCCAGAGUCAAAUGGGUCCAGGUGCAUCUGAUGAGCCUCCAAAAUACAGUGGUGGGCGCACACCAAGAGGAAAUUAUUCAAAUUGGGGCGAAGAAACUAAUGCCACACAUGCAGGUUCUCAUAUUUUAUCCAGAGAUGACAGGGAAAACCCUAGUUCUCAGCAUACUGCCAGAAGUGAUACUGGAUAUGGGUACAAAAACCGGCAAUUGGAAGAUGCUGGAAGGGAUCAGUACCAGAUAAUUCCUCAGGAGGAAUUUGGUUCACAAGGGCGAAACAAACCUGAAAUGGCUGCUUCAAAACAGCCACAGUUUCUAAGUCCUAUCCAAACAAGUGCAGAUAGCAUGAACAAUGACAAGGUAUCUGACAUGGAUGGUCUAAGUGCAUCUGCUACCACUGGCAAUUUGAGUAUGCAAACUGGGAUACAUGCUGCUAAUCUUUUAGGUGGGCAGAGCUUGAGCCAAAUAGCGCAGAGCCAAGAUGCAGUUCCUCAAACUUCUGGGGCACCAACUCAUCCAGUCACAAGCCAGCAGCAGGAUGCUACAUCCAUGUUGCCUUUUAAUAUCCAACCGCAUGAAAGCAACUUCUCAUUACAUCCGAACAGGCAAGACCAGUUUAGCAACUUCUCAUUACAUCCAGACAGGCAAGAUCAAUUUGUAGCUUCUCAGGCAACUGCAAAUAACUCAGCUCCUAGCAUGCAGAAUCAGCCAGUAGCAGCUCCUAGCAUGCAGAAUCAGCCAGUAGCAGCUCCUUAUAUGGGACACGGCCAACACAGCUACACUCUAGGUUCACAGGCAUUGCCUGCAUUUAAUGGACAUAAUUUCAGUGUUGCUGGUCAAGUUCUGCAAGAUCGCCCAACGCCUUUCUAUGCUGGGCAGAGUCAGGCAACUGUUGACAUGUCCAAUCCUAACCAAGAGAGUGGUACUCACAGCAUGCAAAACACACAUAGUUUCCAGCCCGUUGCUCCAAAUAUGCAAGCUCACAGUCAAGCCUUGCAGGGGCUAUCUGGAGUGCCUAGCCAAGAUACCGGUACCCAAAGCAUACAGAACGCACACAAUUUCCAGCCCGUUGCUCCUCCAUAUAUGCAAAGCCGGGGUCAAACCUUGCAGGGUUUAUCGAUAUUGCCAAGCUCCAGCUCAUCUGAUAAGCCUGGUGCUCCCCUUGUUCCUCCUAAUGAGGAAGAAAUUCGCCGUUCAUUAACAUCUCUGGCGGCAACCCUCAUAAUGCAGCCUGGUACAGGUGCUGGACUACAGUUGCCCCAGCCUAUUCUGAAUCCGAGCUUGAUGGCCAGUUUGUCAGCUGUUGAACCCAGUCAGUGGCCUUGGGCACAGCAGCAACAGGCAGGAACGACCCAACUCGCGCGGUCUGAACAGCAAGCUCCCCAGCAGACAUUGCCGGCACCAUCUACGGCAGUUGGUAGUAGUAAUGGCAACAACCCAGCGCCCCAGUCGGUCGGUCAGACCGCUGCGACAUCAGUGGUUACUGCGCCACAGGCUGCAGAAAAUAAGAAAGUAGAGGCCAAAGCCAAAGAUAGCGAUGGCGAGCAAGAUGGUGACAAGAAUAAAAAGGGCAACAAGGAGGAGUCCAAGGCGCUGAAGAUGUUCAAACUCGCGCUCGCAGACUUUGUGAAGGACGCGCUCAAACCUACCUGGAAAGAGGGCCAGCUGACCAGGGAGGUUCACAAGACCAUCGUGAAGAAGGUCGUCGACAAAGUCACGAGCACGGUCGAGAACACCCCUCCAACAAAAGAGAAGAUCGAUGUCUACAUGUCCUACUCAAAGGAAAAACUGAGCAAACUUGUACAGGCGUAUGUCGGCAAGUAUGUCAAGGCGUAG
RNAcentral lists this ribosomal RNA (3000 nucleotides) under Triticum aestivum (bread wheat). RNAcentral's name for it is "partial small subunit ribosomal RNA". Lineage: Eukaryota; Viridiplantae; Streptophyta; Magnoliopsida; Poales; Poaceae. The record is from RNAcentral.